Molecule: ribosomal RNA, 660 nt
Filed under: Roseovarius sp.
Lineage: Bacteria; Pseudomonadati; Pseudomonadota; Alphaproteobacteria; Rhodobacterales; Roseobacteraceae
Description: bacterial SSU rRNA
Rfam family: Bacterial small subunit ribosomal RNA
Source: RNAcentral
GAGGGGGGCUACCAUGCAGUCGAGCGAACCUUCGGGUUAGCGGCGGACGGGUGAGUAACGCGUGGGAACGUACCCUCUUCUGCGGGAUAGCCACUGGAAACGGUGAGUAAUACCGCAUACGCCCUUCGGGGGAAAGAUUUAUCGGAGGAGGAUCGGCCCGCGUUGGAUUAGGUAGUUGGUGGGGUAAUGGCCUACCAAGCCUACGAUCCAUAGCUGGUUUUAGAGGAUGAUCAGCCACACUGGGACUGAGACACGGCCCAGACUCCUACGGGAGGCAGCAGUGGGGAAUCUUAGACAAUGGGCGCAAGCCUGAUCUAGCCAUGCCGCGUGAGUGACGAAGGCCUUAGGGUCGUAAAGCUCUUUCGCCAGAGAUGAUAAUGACAGUAUCUGGUAAAGAAACCCCGGCUAACUCCGUGCCAGCAGCCGCGGUAAUACGGAGGGGGUUAGCGUUGUUCGGAAUUACUGGGCGUAAAGCGCACGUAGGCGGAUUGGAAAGUUGGGGGUGAAAUCCCAGGGCUCAACCCUGGAACUGCCUCCAAAACUCCCAGUCUGGAGUUCGAGAGAGGUGAGUGGAAUUCCGAGUGUAGAGGUGAAAUUCGUAGAUAUUCGGAGGAACACCAGUGGCGAAGGCGGCUCACUGGCUCGAUACUGACGCUGAGG